GAUGAACGCUGGCGGCGUGCCUAAUACAUGCAAGUCGAGCGAACAGACGAGGAGCUUGCUCCUCUGACGUUAGCGGCGGACGGGUGAGUAACACGUGGAUAACCUACCUAUAAGACUGGGAUAACUUCGGGAAACCGGUGCUAAUACCGGAUAAUAUAUUGAACCGCAUGGUUCAAUAGUGAAAGACGGUUUUGCUGUCACUUAUAGAUGGAUCCGCGCCGCAUUAGCUAGUUGGUAAGGUAACGGCUUACCAAGGCAACGAUGCGUAGCCGACCUGAGAGGGUGAUCAGCCACACUGGAACUGAGACACGGUCCAGACUCCUACGGGAGGCAGCAGUAGGGAAUCUUCCGCAAUGGGCGAAAGCCUGACGGAGCAACGCCGCGUGAGUGAUGAAGGUCUUCGGAUCGUAAAACUCUGUUAUUAGGGAAGAACAAAUGUGUAAGUAACUAUGCACGUCUUGACGGUACCUAAUCAGAAAGCCACGGCUAACUACGUG
Molecule: ribosomal RNA, 497 nt
Filed under: uncultured bacterium
Lineage: Bacteria
Description: partial 16S ribosomal RNA
Rfam family: Bacterial small subunit ribosomal RNA
Source: RNAcentral